AAUAGAUACCCGGUAGUCCACGCCGUAAACGAUGAGUACUAGGUGUAGGAGGGUCCAACCUUCUGUGCCGCAGUUAACACAAUAAGUACUCCGCCUGGGAAGUACGAUCGCAAGAUUAAAACUCAAAGGAAUUGACGGGGGCCCGCACAAGCAGCGGAGCAUGUGGUUUAAUUCGAAGCAACGCGAAGAACCUUACCUGGACUUGACAUCCCCUGAAUUACUCGUAAUGGAGGAAGCCCUUCGGGGCAGGGAGACAGGUGGUGCAUGGUUGUCGUCAGCUCGUGUCGUGAGAUGUUAGGUUAAGUCCUGCAACGAGCGCAACCCUUAUCAUUAGUUGCUACCAUUAAGUUGAGCACUCUAGUGAGACUGCCCGGGUUAACCGGGAGGAAGGUGGGGAUGACGUCAAAUCAUCAUGCCCCUUAUGUCCAGGGCUACACACGUGCUACAAUGGUGAGUACAAUUAGAUGCAAACCCGGCGAGGGGGAGCCAAACUAAAAAACUCAUCCCAGUUCGGAUUGUAGGCUGAAACUCGCCUACA
Molecule: ribosomal RNA, 538 nt
Filed under: uncultured bacterium
Lineage: Bacteria
Description: bacterial SSU rRNA
Rfam family: Bacterial small subunit ribosomal RNA
Source: RNAcentral